UGCAUGGACAAGAAAUCCUCCCCGGUUGACGGUUUCUCUUCUUAUCCUACUUGUGCGGAAGCUUUUCCGUUUCAUGUCAUCCAAAUGAUCCAUCGUCCCCUCCUUUGGGUUGGAGGCUGUAGAAAGAAGGCUCAAAACCCUGGAAAUGUGAGGACCGACAAAGCUUGAAUGGGCCCCGUCUCGUUAUUUGCCAUUUUGCUGCGACUCAACGGUUCACAAGAUGUGAUGCAUAUUAUAAUCCAUCUAUCACUGAGUAGAAAAGACCUAGCAUGGUCCAUGGUUUGCCCUUGGUUUCAUAGCCAGUAAGCAUCAAAAGGAGGAUUUCAACCAGGCUGCCGUUGGCCAAUAUUUGAACAAAGAGAGUUGUUCUACUGUCAGCUCUCUUCCUACCUGUGUGAAUUUAACAAGUCAUUUAGUCUUUCUGGUUCCCUGUUUUAUCAACUGCAACACCUGACUGAUGUGGGAAUCUGAUAACACGUGUCCAGAUGUAAAAUGAAUUAAUGUAAGCUAUCAUUAUGACCAAUGUUCUUCCUAAAGGGCUGCUUUGUUUCUUGGCUUGUUUGUUGGUUUGCAUUAUAUAUCAUUCUGACUGGUCCCCAAACCAGGGCAAAACAUAUCCCCAGCAUUUCACUUUGGAAAAAUUGCUCAUAACGAUGAAAAAAAAUGCCAUUUCCAAAUAUCACCUUCAGGCAUUGUGAGAUGAGGCAGCCCUAAUUUUUCAAAGAACAGAUAAGGCCAUUUGACAGCUUUUGAAUGUCAACAGGCCUUUUAGGCAAUGUCUUUGUAAAUGGAUAGACAGCUCUGAGAUCCUGAAACCAAUGUCUAAAACCAAAGUCAUUUCGCCAACACCUAGGAAUUCCAUGGGAGAAAAGAAAUAAAGCCUGAAGUUCAAAACCAAUAGUAGGUACCAUCUUUUUAGAUUCCUAAAGCUGGUGCUCCAGCAGGGAAGAAAGAGAUCAUCUUUAUAGAUCUAAGAGAAAUCAUUAAUAUUUCAAAAGGUAGCAAUAACAGUAGGUGACUUAUUCACGUGUCCCACAGUCCUCACAGAGGGGGAGGUGAGCAGUUUAACGUUAACAUUCUCAUCCCAAGAAAAAAUGAAAGGGGAAAAAUUGUUUUCUGGAAGCCACUUGGGCAUAAACAAUUGCUAAAAUGAGGUAUAAUGUAGAUUUGAUUUCUGGGGAACAUAAAGGAAUCAAUUAAAAUCAUCCUUUUUUCUAUGACUAACAAUGGUUAAGCUGAACUUUUUUUCUUUCUUUAAAAAUAUAAAAAUGAGGUCAUUUAGCUUCCCAUAGGUUGAUCUGUAAAAUUUAAA
This is a non-coding RNA of Monodelphis domestica (gray short-tailed opossum), 1312 nucleotides long. The record is from RefSeq and is a predicted model, not a curated record. Lineage: Eukaryota; Metazoa; Chordata; Mammalia; Didelphimorphia; Didelphidae.